Molecule: long non-coding RNA, 260 nt
Organism: Sinocyclocheilus anshuiensis
Lineage: Eukaryota; Metazoa; Chordata; Actinopteri; Cypriniformes; Cyprinidae
Exons: 4
Source: RefSeq, a predicted model, not a curated record
AACACGUCACGCAAUGGAGUUUUGUGAGCGGUUUGAACUGCUGCGUCUAAUCGUUCUUCAUCCUUGAUAUUGAGGCGGAAAUUUUCCUUUUUUUCCGUACAAAAAAAAAGAAAAGAAAAGAAAAAGGCUACAUCACAAUGUAAAGCUGUCCCCAUGCUCUUCUGCUGUGAACCUCACCUUUAUUUCAUGUGACGUGUAUGUGGCAGUGCAGGCAGUGUGUUGCAAAGGAGAGUUGUAGAUUGAUAGGGAGUUCUUGCGGA